Molecule: transfer RNA, 66 nt
Filed under: Alloxysta sp. ZJUH_2016001
Lineage: Eukaryota; Metazoa; Arthropoda; Insecta; Hymenoptera; Figitidae
Description: tRNA-Cys
Source: RNAcentral
AGAUUAUUAGUUUUAAAAAACAUUAAAUUGCAAAUUUAAAAUUUUAAUGAAUAAUUAAAUAAUCUU